RNAcentral lists this long non-coding RNA (1104 nucleotides) under Oryctolagus cuniculus (rabbit). RNAcentral's name for it is "lncRNA (ENSOCUG00000036490.1)". The record is from RNAcentral. Lineage: Eukaryota; Metazoa; Chordata; Mammalia; Lagomorpha; Leporidae.
CUGAAUCUGGGUUGCCUGCAUGGGGCGCUCUCCCGGACUGGGGCCUCGCGCCCGGAAAACCCACUGGACACAGCUGCGGUGCCGGCAAACCCUGAGAGGCAACAGGGCAGAGACUUUGGGGCUCAGAGAUGUGCCAGGGUCUCUUCAGCCCGCCCCUCGCCAGGCUGGCGCCCUCCAGGGGCUCCUGGCCGGGGACGUGGGCCUGCGGGCCUUCCCUGGGGGCCGAGGUGAGACCCUGCACCUGCCUGGCGCCCGGUGCUUGGGUGACUCAGGCAGGCUGUUGGCGGGAGCCCGAAGCUACAAACAGGCUCCUUAAAGGGUUGGACAAGAGCCGCCCACCACGCUUCCACCGCCCCGGCCCCGGAGGGGGUGCUGGCCGGGCCCCCUGCAGGUCAGAUGGCCCAGAGCCCGCCCCCUGCUCCUGCUGGCCCCUCCCAGGUGGCCCCCUGCCCCAAGUCCCCACCCAGCCCCUGGCGCUGGCAGGCAACAGCCACUUGCUGGUGGGUGGCCAGGAGCGCGUGCCCGGGUUGGGGGCGGGGACGCUGCCUGCCCUGCACCCACAGCCGCCCCUCCCAGGGCCCCUCCCUCACCCCAGCCUUCCCCCCAGGCCCGCGCCCCGGCCGCCAGGGUGGGCCGCUGGGAAGAAGCCGUCGGUGACGUGGCCGCUCCAUGCGGGCGGCCGGGGGCUGUCAGACUGGGUCACCCGAAUCCAGGGUGAUGAUAAAACCUGUCCUUUCCAAUUAGGCCACAGCCCCGGAGCCCCGCUCAUUACAGCACGGGCAGCGCGGCCGGCGGCGCCCGGAGGGGUCACUCGAGGGUCAUCAGUGUGGAUGACCCAUUGUUUUCUGCAAUUAGGCCACGGCGGCGCCUGGCGGGGAAGCACCUAGCGGCCGUGGGCGCACCCCGGGGGUCCUGGGUCCCGGCGGGCUGAUGAAGAAGAGGCCGAGGGCGUGAUUCCCAACAUCGUGGGCAGGUGCAGGGCCCAGUGGCUUCCCCGGCCACCUGGAGAACAUUCCGGAGGGUGAAAGCAGCCCUCUGGGUGGCCGUGGAGACCGCGUGGGAUUCUCUGCUCUUAGAGAAACAUCUUAGAGUCCCACACCUUCC